AUUACGGAGAGUUUGAUCCUGGCUCAGGAUGAACGCUAGCGGCGUGCCUAACACAUGCAAGUCGAACGUGAACCCUGGACUCGUCUAGGGGGAAAGUGGCGCACGGGUGAGUAACACGUUGGUGACCUGCCCCAGAG
Molecule: ribosomal RNA, 137 nt
Filed under: Anaerolineae bacterium
Lineage: Bacteria; Bacillati; Chloroflexota; Anaerolineae
Description: partial 16S ribosomal RNA
Rfam family: Bacterial small subunit ribosomal RNA
Source: RNAcentral